This 465-nucleotide ribosomal RNA is filed under the name uncultured bacterium. Its description in RNAcentral is "partial 16S ribosomal RNA". It matches the Rfam family "Bacterial small subunit ribosomal RNA", at positions 28 to 507 of the family's 1533-position model. The record is from RNAcentral.
GAUGAACGCUGGCGGCGUGCUUAACACAUGCAAGUCGAACGGAAAGGCUCCUGCUUGCAGGGGUACUCGAGUGGCGAACGGGUGAGUAACACGUGGGUGAUCUGCCCUGCACUUCGGGAUAAGCCUGGGAAACUGGGUCUAAUACCGGAUAGGACCACAUUUUGGAUGGUGUGGUGGAAAGUUUUUCGGUGUGGGAUGAGCUCGCGGCCUAUCAGCUUGUUGGUGGGGUAAUGGCCUACCAAGGCGUCGACGGGUAGCCGGCCUGAGAGGGUGUACGGCCACAUUGGGACUGAGAUACGGCCCAGACUCCUACGGGAGGCAGCAGUGGGGAAUAUUGCAAAAUGGGCGCAAGCCUGAUGCAGCGACGCCGCGUGGGGGAUGACGGCCUUCGGGUUGUAAACUCCUUUCGCUAGGGACGAAGCGCAAGUGACGGUACCUGGAGAAGAAGCACCGGCUAACUACGUG